GCAUAUCAAUAAGCGGAGGAAAAGAAACCAACAGGGAUUGCCCUUAGUAACGGCGAAGUGAAGCGGCAACAGCUCAAAUUUGAAAUCUGGCUUCGGCCCGAGUUGUAAUUUGCAGAGGAAGCUUUAGGCGCGGCACCUUCUGAGUCCCCUGGAACGGGGCGCCAUAGAGGGUGAGAGCCCCGUAUAGUUGGAUGCCUAGCCUGUGUAAAGCUCCUUCGACGAGUCGAGUAGUUUGGGAAUGCUGCUCAAAAUGGGAGGUAAAUUUCUUCUAAAGCUAAAUACCGGCCAGAGACCGAUAGCGCACAAGUAGAGUGAUCGAAAGAUGAAAAGCACUUUGAAAAGAGGGUUAAAUAGCACGUGAAAUUGUUGAAAGGGAAGCGCUUGUGACCAGACUUGCGCCGGGCUGAUCAUCCGGUGUUCUCACCGGUGCACUCUGCCCGGCUCAGGCCAGCAUCGGUUCUCGCGGGGGGAUAAAGGCCCUGGGAACGUAGCUCCUCCGGGAGUGUUAUAGCCCGGGGCGCAAUGCCCUCGCGGGGACCGAGGUUCGCGCUCUGCAAGGAUGCUGGCGUAAUGGUCACCAGCGACCCGUCUUGAAACACGGACCAAGGAGUCAAGGUUUUGCGCGAGUGUUUGGGUGUAAAACCCGCACGCGUAAUGAAAGUGAACGUAGGUGAGAGCUUCGGCGCAUCAUCGACCGAUCCUGAUGUUCUCGGAUGGAUUUGAGUAGGAGCGUUAAGCCUUGGACCCGAAAGAUGGUGAACUAUGCUUGGAUAGGGUGAAGCCAGAGGAAACUCUGGUGGAGGCUCGCAGCGGUUCUGACGUGCAAAUCGAUCGUCAAAUCUGAGCAUGGGGGCGAAAGACUAAUCGAACCAUCUAGUAGCUGGUUACCGC
RNAcentral lists this ribosomal RNA (891 nucleotides) under Hyalosphaerella fragilis. RNAcentral's name for it is "partial large subunit ribosomal RNA". It matches the Rfam family "Eukaryotic large subunit ribosomal RNA", at positions 38 to 961 of the family's 3401-position model. The record is from RNAcentral. Lineage: Eukaryota; Fungi; Ascomycota; Sordariomycetes; Sordariales; Chaetomiaceae.